RNAcentral lists this ribosomal RNA (471 nucleotides) under uncultured bacterium. RNAcentral describes it as "bacterial SSU rRNA". It matches the Rfam family "Bacterial small subunit ribosomal RNA", at positions 355 to 825 of the family's 1533-position model. The record is from RNAcentral.
UGGGGAAUAUUGGACAAUGGGCGGAAGCCUGAUCCAGCAAUACCGCGUGUGUGAAGAAGGCCUUAGGGUUGUAAAGCACUUUCAAUAGGGAGGAAAAAGGUAAGCUUAAUACGUUUGCCCUUGACAUUACCUAUACAAGAAGCACCGGCUAACUCCGUGCCAGCAGCCGCGGUAAUACGGAGGGUGCAAGCGUUAAUCGGAAUUACUGGGCGUAAAGCGUGCGUAGGCGGCUUGUUAAGUCAGAUGUGAAAGCCCCGGGCUCAACCUGGGAACUGCAUUUGAAACUGGCAAGCUAGAGUUGGGUAGAGGGGAGUGGAAUUUCAGGUGUAGCGGUGAAAUGCGUAGAUAUCUGAAGGAACACCAGUGGCGAAGGCGACUCCCUGGACUCAAACUGACGCUGAGGCACGAAAGCGUGGGUAGCAAACAGGAUUAGAUACCCUCGUAGUCCCUGAGCGGGCUGGCAAGGCGCAU